This 73-nucleotide transfer RNA is filed under the name Methylobacterium gregans. RNAcentral's name for it is "tRNA-Thr". The record is from RNAcentral. Lineage: Bacteria; Pseudomonadati; Pseudomonadota; Alphaproteobacteria; Hyphomicrobiales; Methylobacteriaceae.
CCCGGUCUUGGCGGGCCGGCAGCACCUGCUCCUCGUGCGCGAGGCCGGGCGGAUCCUCGCCGUCGAGCGGGCC